This 252-nucleotide ribosomal RNA is filed under the name uncultured bacterium. RNAcentral's name for it is "partial 16S ribosomal RNA". It matches the Rfam family "Bacterial small subunit ribosomal RNA", at positions 525 to 776 of the family's 1533-position model. The record is from RNAcentral.
ACGGAGGGUGCGAGCGUUAAUCGGAAUUACUGGGCGUAAAGCGCGCGUAGGCGGUUUGUUAAGUCAGCUGUGAAAGCCCCGGGCUCAACCUGGGAACUGCAGUUGAUACUGGCCGACUAGAGUACGAGAGAGGGAGGUAGAAUUCCAUGUGUAGCGGUGAAAUGCGUAGAUAUAUGGAGGAAUACCAGUGGCGAAGGCGGCCUCCUGGCUCGAUACUGACGCUGAGGUGCGAAAGCGUGGGGAUCAAACAGG